GACAUCCCGGAGACCCUUAGGAAACUAGGGGGUGCUUCCAUCUGGAAGAAUCUGGAGACAGGUGCUGCAUGGCUGUCGUCAGCUCGUGUCGUGAGAUGUUGGGUUAAGUCCCGCAACGAGCGCAACCCUUGCCUUUAGUUGCCAGCAGUUCGGCUGGGCACUCUAAAGGGACUGCCGGUGUUAAACCGGAGGAAGGUGGGGAUGACGUCAAGUCCUCAUGGCCUUUAUGACCAGGGCUACACACGUACUACAAUGGCCGAUACAAAGGGCAGCGACACUGCGAGGUGAAGCCAAUCCCGUAAAAUCGGUCUCAGUCCGGAUUGGAGUCUGCAACUCGACUCCAUGAAGUUGGAAUCGCUAGUAAUCGUGGAUCAGCAUGCCACGGUGAAUACGUUCCCGGGCCUU
Molecule: ribosomal RNA, 405 nt
Filed under: uncultured Desulfobulbus sp.
Lineage: Bacteria; Pseudomonadati; Thermodesulfobacteriota; Desulfobulbia; Desulfobulbales; Desulfobulbaceae
Description: bacterial SSU rRNA
Rfam family: Bacterial small subunit ribosomal RNA
Source: RNAcentral